GGCAAUCCUCUCCGGUCCCCUUCCGGGCUGUGGGAGCUUUGUUCUUUUGCUCUUUGCAAUAAAUCUUGCUGCUGCUCGCUCUUUGGGUCCACAUUGCCUUUGUGAGCUGUAACACUCACGGCGAAGGUCUGCAGCUUCACUCCUAAAGCCAGAGAGACCACAAACCCACCGGGAGGAACGAACAACUCCAGACGCGCGGCCUUAAGAGCUGUAACACUCACCGCGAAAGUCUGCAGCUUCACUCCUAAAGCCAGCGAGACCACGAACCCACCAGGAGGAACGAACAAUUCCAGAUGCGCCGCCUUAGGAGCUGUAACACUCACCGCGAAGAUCUGCAGCUUCACUCCUGAGCCGGCGAGACCACGAACCCCACCAGAAGGAAGAAACUCCGGACACGCCGCCUUUAAGAACUAUAACACUCACGGCGAGGGUCCACGGCUUCAUUCUUGAAGUCAGUGAAACCAAGAACCCACCAAUUCCGGACACAGCAGGAUCCCACCCACAGAACCGCCAGGUGCACAGCUGCAUAUCCUCAGGGGAAAACUCCCCUCCCCUGCCACCUUACUGAUAGGCUUCACUUCCCAGAGAACUUUCCCAAUCCUGUGCAAUGCCUGAGUGGUACAUUGUAUUCUAUGAGAAUGGCGCCCCCGCCUCCAGAGUUGUGCAACAAGACUUCCAUGAAUCAAAGCCCAUCGCUGGCUGCCUCCUCUAGCCCUGCAUAGCCCAGAAGCUACAACCUCAGCCCAGAUUAGCAGGCUGAGGGGUCAGGAGGCUGUCACUGGAGCUGUUGAGCUCAUGAACACG
RNAcentral lists this long non-coding RNA (804 nucleotides) under Homo sapiens (human). RNAcentral's name for it is "non-protein coding lnc-KMT2E-1:7". The record is from RNAcentral. Lineage: Eukaryota; Metazoa; Chordata; Mammalia; Primates; Hominidae.